UAGCUUUUGGAAUUGUUUAGUAUGUUAGGUCCGGUUUUGGGGGAUUUAUCAUUUUGGAGAGAGAGAUGGACAAGGAGAUAGAGAUAGAUAGAGAGAGAGAGGAGAAAGCAUGGCUGUGUGCAUUUUUUGGUGUUAAUUAAUGGGUUGGUGCGCAGGUGAGUGACAGAGUGACGGAGGGACGUGUGGGAGGGUAUGGGUUUUUAGUUCUUUCUUCUGAUUC
Molecule: long non-coding RNA, 220 nt
Filed under: Malus domestica (apple)
Lineage: Eukaryota; Viridiplantae; Streptophyta; Magnoliopsida; Rosales; Rosaceae
Description: long non-coding RNA (MDOM_LNC000054)
Source: RNAcentral